This 314-nucleotide ribosomal RNA is filed under the name uncultured Bacillota bacterium. RNAcentral's name for it is "bacterial SSU rRNA". It matches the Rfam family "Bacterial small subunit ribosomal RNA", at positions 28 to 351 of the family's 1533-position model. Lineage: Bacteria; Bacillati; Bacillota. The record is from RNAcentral.
GAUGAACGCUGGCGGCGUGCCUAACACAUGCAAGUCGAGCGAUUCUCUUCGGAGAAGAGCGGCGGACGGGUGAGUAACGCGUGGGUAACCUGCCCUGUACACACGGAUAACAUACCGAAAGGUAUGCUAAUACGAGAUAAUAUACUUUUAUCGCAUGGUAGAAGUAUCAAAGCUUUUGCGGUACAGGAUGGACCCGCGUCUGAUUAGCUAGUUGGUAAGGUAGUGGCUUACCAAGGCGACGAUCAGUAGCCGACCUGAGAGGGUGAUCGGCCACAUUGGAACUGAGACACGGUCCAAACUCCUACGGGUGGCAG